GGCUUAGUGGUGGGGUGACUGCGUACCUUUUGUAUAAUGGGUCAGCGACUUAUAUUCUGUAGCAAGGUUAACCGCAUAGGGGAGCCGGAGGGAAACCGAGUCUUAACCGGGCGUUAAGUUGCAGGGUAUAGACCCGAAACCCGGUGAUCUAGCCAUGGGCAGGUUGAAGGUUGGGUAACACUAACUGGAGGACCGAACCGACUAAUGUUGAAAAAUUAGCGGAUGACCUGUGGCUGGGGGUGAAAGGCCAAUCAAACCGGGAGAUAGCUGGUUCUCCCCGAAAGCUAUUUAGGUAGCGCCUCGUGAAUUCAUCUCCGGGGGUAGAGCACUGUUUCGGCCAGGGGGCCAUCCCGGCUUACCAAUCCGAUGCAAACUGCGAAUACCGGAGAAUGUUAUCACGGGAGACACACGGCGGGUGCUAACGUCCGUCGUGAAGAGGGAAACAACCCAGACCGCCAGCUAAGGUCCCAAAGUCAUGGUUAAGUGGGAAACGAUGUGGGAAGGCCCAGACAGCCAGGAUGUUGGCUUAGAAGCAGCCAUCAUUUAAAGAAAGCGUAAUAGCUCACUGGUCGAGUCGGCCUGCGCGGAAGAUGUAACGGGGCUAAACCAUGCACCGAAGCUGCGGCAGCGACACUGAUGUGUUGUUGGGUAGGGGAGCGUUCUGUAAGCCGUUGAAGGUGGCCUGUGAGGGUUGCUGGAGGUAUCAGAAGUGCGAAUGCUGACAUAAGUAACGAUAAAGCGGGUGAAAAGCCCGCUCGCCGGAAGACCAAGGGUUCCUGUCCAACGUUAAUCGGGGCAGGGUGAGUCGACCCCUAAGGCGAGGCCGAAAGGCGUAGUCGAUGGGAAACGGGUUAAUAUUCCCGUACUUGGUGUUACUGCGAAGGGGGGACGGAGAAGGCUAUGUUGGCCGGGCGACGGUUGUCCCGGUUUAAGCGUGUAGGUGUGUGUUCCAGGUAAAUCCGGUUCACUUUAACACUGAGGCGUGAUGACGAGGCACUACGGUGCUGAAGCAACAAAUGCCCUGCUUCCAGGAAAAGCCUCUAAGCCUCAGGUAACAUCAAAUCGUACCCCAAACCGACACAGGUGGUCAGGUAGAGAAUACCAAGGCGCUUGAGAGAACUCGGGUGAAGGAACUAGGCAAAAUGGUGCCGUAACUUCGGGAGAAGGCACGCUGACACGUAGGUGAAGUGGUUUACCCAUGGAGCUGAAGUCAGUCGAAGAUACCAGCUGGCUGCAACUGUUUAUUAAAAACACAGCACUGUGCAAACACGAAAGUGGACGUAUACGGUGUGACGCCUGCCCGGUGCCGGAAGGUUAAUUGAUGGGGUCAGCGCAAGCGAAGCUCCUGAUCGAAGCCCCGGUAAACGGCGGCCGUAACUAUAACGGUCCUAAGGUAGCGAAAUUCCUUGUCGGGUAAGUUCCGACCUGCACGAAUGGCGUAAUGAUGGCCAGGCUGUCUCCACCCGGGACUCAGUGAAAUUGAACUCGCUGUGAAGAUGCAGUGUACCCGCGGCAAGACGGAAAGACCCCGUGAACCUUUACUAUAGCUUGACACUGAACACUGGUCCUUGAUGUGCAGGAUAGGUGGGAGGCUUUGAAGUGUGGACGCCAGUCUGCACGGAGCCGUCCUUGAAAUACCACCCUUUAAUGGCUGGUGUUCUAACGUGGACCCGUAAUCCGGGUUGCGGACAGUGUCUGGUGGGUAGUUUGACUGGGGCGGUCUCCUCCUAAAGAGUAACGGAGGAGCACGAAGGUUGGCUAAUCCUGGUCGGACAUCAGGAGGUUAGUGCAAUGGCAUAAGCCAGCUUGACUGCGAGCGUGACGGCGCGAGCAGGUGCGAAAGCAGGUCAUAGUGAUCCGGUGGUUCUGAAUGGAAGGGCCAUCGCUCAACGGAUAAAAGGUACUCCGGGGAUAACAGGCUGAUACCGCCCAAGAGUUCAUAUCGACGGCGGUGUUUGGCACCUCGAUGUCGGCUCAUCACAUCCUGGGGCUGAAGUAGGUCCCAAGGGUAUGGCUGUUCGCCAUUUAAAGUGGUACGCGAGCUGGGUUUAGAACGUCGUGAGACAGUUCGGUCCCUAUCUGCCGUGGGCGCUGGAAGAUUGAGGGGGGCUGCUCCUAGUACGAGAGGACCGGAGUGGACGCAUCACUGGUGUUCGGGUUGUCAUGCCAAUGGCACUGCCCGGUAGCUACAUGCGGAAGAGAUAAGUGCUGAAAGCAUCUAAGCACGAAACUUGCCCCGAGAUGAAUCUUCCCUGAGCCUUUAAGGCUCCUGAAGGAACGUUGAAGACGACGACGUUGAUAGGCCGGGUGUGUAAGCGCAGCGAUGCGUUGAGCUAACCGGUACUAAUGAACCGUGAGGCUUAACCUU
This 2368-nucleotide ribosomal RNA is filed under the name Salmonella enterica. RNAcentral describes it as "partial 23S ribosomal RNA". It matches the Rfam family "Bacterial large subunit ribosomal RNA", at positions 579 to 2925 of the family's 2925-position model. The record is from RNAcentral. Lineage: Bacteria; Pseudomonadati; Pseudomonadota; Gammaproteobacteria; Enterobacterales; Enterobacteriaceae.